UUAAGCGACUAAGCGUACACGGUGGAUGCCCUGGCAGUCAGAGGCGAUGAAGGACGUGCUAAUCUGCGAUAAGCGUCGGUAAGGUGAUAUGAACCGUUAUAACCGGCGAUUUCCGAAUGGGGAAACCCAGUGUGUUUCGACACACUAUCAUUAACUGAAUCCAUAGGUUAAUGAGGCGAACCGGGGGAACUGAAACAUCUAAGUACCCCGAGGAAAAGAAAUCAACCGAGAUUCCCCCAGUAGCGGCGAGCGAACGGGGAGCAGCCCAGAGCCUGAAUCAGUGUGUGUGUUAGUGGAAGCGUCUGGAAAGGCGCGCGAUACAGGGUGACAGCCCCGUACACAAAAAUGCACAUGCUGUGAGCUCGAUGAGUAGGGCGGGACACGUGGUAUCCUGUCUGAAUAUGGGGGGACCAUCCUCCAAGGCUAAAUACUCCUGACUGACCGAUAGUGAACCAGUACCGUGAGGGAAAGGCGAAAAGAACCCCGGCGAGGGGAGUGAAAAAGAACCUGAAACCGUGUACGUACAAGCAGUGGGAGCACGCUUCGGCGUGUGACUGCGUACCUUUUGUAUAAUGGGUCAGCGACUUAUAUUCUGUAGCAAGGUUAACCGAAUAGGGGAGCCGAAGGGAAACCGAGUCUUAACUGGGCGUUAAGUUGCAGGGUAUAGACCCGAAACCCGGUGAUCUAGCCAUGGGCAGGUUGAAGGUUGGGUAACACUAACUGGAGGACCGAACCGACUAAUGUUGAAAAAUUAGCGGAUGACUUGUGGCUGGGGGUGAAAGGCCAAUCAAACCGGGAGAUAGCUGGUUCUCCCCGAAAGCUAUUUAGGUAGCGCCUCGUGAAUUCAUCUCCGGGGGUAGAGCACUGUUUCGGCAAGGGGGUCAUCCCGACUUACCAACCCGAUGCAAACUGCGAAUACCGGAGAAUGUUAUCACGGGAGACACACGGCGGGUGCUAACGUCCGUCGUGAAGAGGGAAACAACCCAGACCGCCAGCUAAGGUCCCAAAGUCAUGGUUAAGUGGGAAACGAUGUGGGAAGGCCCAGACAGCCAGGAUGUUGGCUUAGAAGCAGCCAUCAUUUAAAGAAAGCGUAAUAGCUCACUGGUCGAGUCGGCCUGCGCGGAAGAUGUAACGGGGCUAAACCAUGCACCGAAGCUGCGGCAGCGACGCUUAUGCGUUGUUGGGUAGGGGAGCGUUCUGUAAGCCUGCGAAGGUGUGCUGUGAGGCAUGCUGGAGGUAUCAGAAGUGCGAAUGCUGACAUAAGUAACGAUAAAGCGGGUGAAAAGCCCGCUCGCCGGAAGACCAAGGGUUCCUGUCCAACGUUAAUCGGGGCAGGGUGAGUCGACCCCUAAGGCGAGGCCGAAAGGCGUAGUCGAUGGGAAACAGGUUAAUAUUCCUGUACUUGGUGUUACUGCGAAGGGGGGACGGAGAAGGCUAUGUUGGCCGGGCGACGGUUGUCCCGGUUUAAGCGUGUAGGCUGGUUUUCCAGGCAAAUCCGGAAAAUCAAGGCUGAGGCGUGAUGACGAGGCACUACGGUGCUGAAGCAACAAAUGCCCUGCUUCCAGGAAAAGCCUCUAAGCAUCAGGUAACAUCAAAUCGUACCCCAAACCGACACAGGUGGUCAGGUAGAGAAUACCAAGGCGCUUGAGAGAACUCGGGUGAAGGAACUAGGCAAAAUGGUGCCGUAACUUCGGGAGAAGGCACGCUGAUAUGUAGGUGAGGUCCCUCGCGGAUGGAGCUGAAAUCAGUCGAAGAUACCAGCUGGCUGCAACUGUUUAUUAAAAACACAGCACUGUGCAAACACGAAAGUGGACGUAUACGGUGUGACGCCUGCCCGGUGCCGGAAGGUUAAUUGAUGGGGUUAGCGCAAGCGAAGCUCUUGAUCGAAGCCCCGGUAAACGGCGGCCGUAACUAUAACGGUCCUAAGGUAGCGAAAUUCCUUGUCGGGUAAGUUCCGACCUGCACGAAUGGCGUAAUGAUGGCCAGGCUGUCUCCACCCGAGACUCAGUGAAAUUGAACUCGCUGUGAAGAUGCAGUGUACCCGCGGCAAGACGGAAAGACCCCGUGAACCUUUACUAUAGCUUGACACUGAACAUUGAGCCUUGAUGUGUAGGAUAGGUGGGAGGCUUAGAAGUGUGGACGCCAGUCUGCAUGGAGCCGACCUUGAAAUACCACCCUUUAAUGUUUGAUGUUCUAACGUUGACCCGUAAUCCGGGUUGCGGACAGUGUCUGGUGGGUAGUUUGACUGGGGCGGUCUCCUCCUAAAGAGUAACGGAGGAGCACGAAGGUUGGCUAAUCCUGGUCGGACAUCAGGAGGUUAGUGCAAUGGCAUAAGCCAGCUUGACUGCGAGCGUGACGGCGCGAGCAGGUGCGAAAGCAGGUCAUAGUGAUCCGGUGGUUCUGAAUGGAAGGGCCAUCGCUCAACGGAUAAAAGGUACUCCGGGGAUAACAGGCUGAUACCGCCCAAGAGUUCAUAUCGACGGCGGUGUUUGGCACCUCGAUGUCGGCUCAUCACAUCCUGGGGCUGAAGUAGGUCCCAAGGGUAUGGCUGUUCGCCAUUUAAAGUGGUACGCGAGCUGGGUUUAGAACGUCGUGAGACAGUUCGGUCCCUAUCUGCCGUGGGCGCUGGAGAACUGAGGGGGGCUGCUCCUAGUACGAGAGGACCGGAGUGGACGCAUCACUGGUGUUCGGGUUGUCAUGCCAAUGGCACUGCCCGGUAGCUAAAUGCGGAAGAGAUAAGUGCUGAAAGCAUCUAAGCACGAAACUUGCCCCGAGAUGAGUUCUCCCUGACCCUUUAAGGGUCCUGAAGGAACGUUGAAGACGACGACGUUGAUAGGCCGGGUGUGUAAGCGCAGCGAUGCGUUGAGCUAACCGGUACUAAUGAACCGUGAGGCUUAACCUU
This 2902-nucleotide ribosomal RNA is filed under the name Escherichia coli. RNAcentral describes it as "bacterial LSU rRNA". It matches the Rfam family "Bacterial large subunit ribosomal RNA". Lineage: Bacteria; Pseudomonadati; Pseudomonadota; Gammaproteobacteria; Enterobacterales; Enterobacteriaceae. The record is from RNAcentral.